This 468-nucleotide ribosomal RNA is filed under the name uncultured bacterium. RNAcentral describes it as "partial 16S ribosomal RNA". It matches the Rfam family "Bacterial small subunit ribosomal RNA", at positions 28 to 507 of the family's 1533-position model. The record is from RNAcentral.
GACGAACGCUGGCGGCGUGCUUAACACAUGCAAGUCGAACGGAAAGGCCCUGCUUUUGUGGGUUGCUCGAGUGGCGAACGGGUGAGUAACACGUGAGUAACCUGCCCUUGACUUUGGGAUAACUUCAGGAAACUGGGGCUAAUACCGGAUAGAAGCUCCUGCUGCAUGGUGGGGGUUGGAAAGUUUCGGCGGUUGGGGAUGGACUCGCGGCUUAUCAGCUUGUUUGUGGGGUAGUGGCUUACCAAGGCUUUGACGGGUAGCCGGCCUGAGAGGGUGAACGGGCACAAUGGGACUGAGGUACGGCCCAGACUCCUACGGGCGGCAGCAGUGGGGAAUAUUGCGCAAUGGGCGGAAGCCUGAUGCAGCAACGCCGCGUGCGGGAUGACGGCCUUCGGGUUGUAAACCGCUUUCGCAUGUAACGAAGCGUGAGUGACGGUAAUGGGUAAAGAAGCACCGGCUAACUACGUG